RNAcentral lists this ribosomal RNA (531 nucleotides) under Lelliottia nimipressuralis. Its description in RNAcentral is "bacterial SSU rRNA". It matches the Rfam family "Bacterial small subunit ribosomal RNA", at positions 1007 to 1533 of the family's 1533-position model. The record is from RNAcentral. Lineage: Bacteria; Pseudomonadati; Pseudomonadota; Gammaproteobacteria; Enterobacterales; Enterobacteriaceae. RNAcentral also lists the same sequence under 1 other name.
UGGAUUGGUGCCUUCGGGAACUCUGAGACAGGUGCUGCAUGGCUGUCGUCAGCUCGUGUUGUGAAAUGUUGGGUUAGUCCGCAACGAGCGCAACCCUUAUCCUUUGUUGCCAGCGGUCCGGCCGGGAACUCAAAGGGACUGCCAGUGAUAAACUGGGGAGGAAGGGGGGAUGACGUCAAGUCAUCAUGGCCCUUACGAGUAGGGCUACACACGUGCUACAAUGGCGCAUACAAAGAGAAGCGACCUCGCGAGAGCAAGCGGACCUCAUAAAGUGCGUCGUAGUCCGGAUUGGAGUCUGCAACUCGACUCCAUGAAGUCGGAAUCGCUAGUAAUCGUAGAUCAGAAUGCUACGGUGAAUACGUUCCCGGGCCUUGUACACACCGCCCGUCACACCAUGGGAGUGGGUUGCAAAGAAGUAGGUAGCUUAACCUUCGGGAGGGCGCUUACCACUUGUAUUCAUGACUGGGGUGAAGUCGUAACAAGGUAACCGUAGGGGAACCUGCGGUUGGAUCACCUCCUUACCUUAAAGAA